RNAcentral lists this transfer RNA (62 nucleotides) under Ruditapes philippinarum (Manila clam). Its description in RNAcentral is "tRNA-Asn". Lineage: Eukaryota; Metazoa; Mollusca; Bivalvia; Venerida; Veneridae. The record is from RNAcentral.
UAGGUUUUAGUUUAAUUAGAAUGUUUGACUGUUAAUCAUAAGGUAGCAUAGGCUAAACUUAA